GACGAACGCUGGCGGCGUGCUUAACACAUGCAAGUCGAGCGGUGAAACACCUUCGGGUGCGGAUUAGCGGCGAACGGGUGAGGAACACGUGAGGAAUCUGCCUUCCACUCUGGGAUAACUCCGGGAAAACGGGGCUAAUACCGGAUACUUUAAACUGGCGGCAUCGCAGUGUGAAGAAAGUUUUUCGGUGGAAGAUGACCGCGCGGCCUAUCAGCUGGUUGGUGAGGUAAAGGCUCACCAAGGCGACGACGGGUAGCAGGCCUGAGAGGCGACCGGCCACACUGGGACUGAGACACGGGCGAGACGACUACGUGAGGCAGCAGUAAGGAAUAUUGGACAAUGGGCGAAAGCCUGAUCCAGGCAUGCAGCGUGAAGGAUGAAGGCCCUAUGGGUCGUAAACUUCUUUUAAACGGGACGAAACCCCUCGACGUGUCGAGGGCUGACGGUACCGUAAGAAUAAGGGUCGGCUAACUUCGUGCC
This 480-nucleotide ribosomal RNA is filed under the name uncultured bacterium. Its description in RNAcentral is "partial 16S ribosomal RNA". It matches the Rfam family "Bacterial small subunit ribosomal RNA", at positions 28 to 509 of the family's 1533-position model. The record is from RNAcentral.